Molecule: long non-coding RNA, 411 nt
Organism: Pipistrellus kuhlii (Kuhl's pipistrelle)
Lineage: Eukaryota; Metazoa; Chordata; Mammalia; Chiroptera; Vespertilionidae
Exons: 3
Source: RefSeq, a predicted model, not a curated record
UAACGCACGUUUCUUGAACACAUUGGUGCCGCUCACUCUUGACGUACUUUUUGUGCAGCUUGUGUUUACACUCUGUAUUGCAUGCUUUUUCCCCCCCAAUGUGCCUACAUAACUGUGCCAUCAGAAUUGCAUUUCUUUACUGAAAAUAUUUACAGUGACUGUUACUAUCUUACUAUCAUUGUAACAAGAGAAAUCUGUGUAGAGCUGCUUCAGCUAUAUGUCUGUUAAGAAACAUUUCUGUGUGAUUUGGGGUUUCAGUUCUGCAACAAAUCAUGGACCAUGAUGGGACCUUACCUACUGUUGCAGAAAAACUGAUGGGGUUAAACUUGCUGAGAGGGCACCUACCUAACUGGUGAGAGCCACAAAGAAGUAAAAUUUAUUUCUCUAUGAGAAGAAGAGAUGAGAGAAAGG